UGAUACGUGAUACGUCAGGGUGGGUAGAGGGGAAAUGCAGUGUUUCAUGGCUCCCGCAGUGCAGGGGCUAUGAGUGGUAACAGGUGAUGGAGGUGUUUGAUGUCUUUGAACGAGCCAACCACGUCCUGGAGCAGAUGAGAUUAAUUUCAGUCCAUCUUAGCUAGAGGGUCAGUGUUUCCCUGCAGAAGGAAGUCCUCUGAGCUGUGACAGGCAGUGAUGUCACUUCUAAGCCGGCCUCCACUUGGGGAGACAAAAGGGCCUAGAAUCCUCUGCCUCAUUGCUCAUGCUCCAAAAGCCUGAGACAGAGGGUUUGGCCUCCUCUUGCCCCUGCUAUGGUCACCAGUGUCCUUUGCUGUGUGGUCCUUUGUUUCCUAGGAGCAGAUGCUGGAGUCACCCAGACACCAAGGCACGUGGUGACAGGGAAAGAGCAAGCAGUAAAUUUGAGCUGCAAGCCUAUUUCAGGCCAUACCGCACUUUUCUGGUACAGACAGUUCAUGGGGCAAAGUCUGGAACUGCUGAUUUACUUUAAUAACCAGCAACCCAUAGAUGAUUCAGGGAUGAUCAAAGGGCGGUUCUCAGCUGAGAUGCUUAGUGCAUCCUCCUCCACCCUGAAAAUUCAGCCGGCAGAACCCAAGGACUCAGCUGUGUAUUUCUGUGCCAGCAGCUUAGCCACAGCGCUGCAGAACCAUGCCCUGCCUGUGCAGAAACUCUUGUGCUUCCUCUUAUCUGUCCACCUCCCUCAGCUCUCAGAAGCUGUUUGAGGCUCCUCCCCAACACAGGAAGGACAUGGGUUUGGUGCCAUAUCUGUUUGGAGGCAAGGCAAAAACAGACUACAGAGAAGUAUGACAGGAGCAACUCUUGGAGCAAGGCAAUUCAGGAGACUGGCUCCGGGGAGGUCUCAGAACUUUCUCACAAGACUGAAUGAGUCCAAGCCUGAUGGCCAGUGGCACACACAGGAUGGUGACUUCGCCCUUUUGCUUUCUGUUAUGGCUUCUCCACUGUUUCUUGUCUCUUCUGCUUUAAGACUCCCAGCUUCUUUGGUGGGUUCCACCACCUGCAUGAUACCUUGGCUCUUCAGUUUCUGUACUUCUGCACUUCCAAUGAUCACUGCCUCCAGUCCCAUGCAGGUAUUCUUUCUCACUCUCCUAUUUUAGCCUCCAGUCAUUUGAACAGCUUCCAGAAGAGCUCUCUUGGAAUACACAGCAAGACUAUCUUUUCCCUUCUUCUCUUUUCCGUCUCUGUUACUACUUCUGCAGCAACGCUUCCUUCCAUCAGAACACUAAUGGUACCUUCUGUAAAAGGCUCUGUGUGUCACUGCAGUAUACACUUAACU
Non-coding RNA from Chinchilla lanigera (long-tailed chinchilla), 1333 nucleotides. Lineage: Eukaryota; Metazoa; Chordata; Mammalia; Rodentia; Chinchillidae. The record is from the annotation of a RefSeq genome assembly.